Molecule: small nucleolar RNA, 81 nt
Filed under: Medicago truncatula (barrel medic)
Lineage: Eukaryota; Viridiplantae; Streptophyta; Magnoliopsida; Fabales; Fabaceae
Description: Plant small nucleolar RNA SNOR75
Rfam family: Plant small nucleolar RNA SNOR75
About the family: U15 is a member of the C/D class of snoRNA which contain the C (UGAUGA) and D (CUGA) box motifs.
Source: Rfam by way of RNAcentral
UCUCAGUGAUGAUGAAUAAUUGAUGACGAGUCCGAUCCAUUCAUAAUCAUGACGACAUAUCGAGGCAUUUGUCUGAGAGGU